CGGAAGUCUAAGGUACUGUUACUACUAUAGUGAAGUAAAUGGGGCUAUUUUCUCCUUCCCUGCAUCUCAUGGAGAUUCCUUUAUGUUGUUCCUCAGAGCAGCAGCAGCCACACAGGCUGGUCUCUUCUAGCGCCAAGGAGGACAAGAAAGUUAUCCUGUGGCCUCUGGCAGGGAAUGAAGGCAUUCCAGAAUUCAGUGGAGUGGUGACAUCAGAACCAUCUUUGAUUCACACUGUUUGCAGGAGAAAGUCUGCUUUGUGAAAAGCAGGUUAACCAGAUUACUUCUUUACCAGAUUACUACCUUCAGUGGACAUGAUGAAAAAUUGAUCACCAUCUUCUUUGUAACAGCCGUUAACAUAUUUGAAGACUUGUCAUGUCCCCCGCCACCCCACCCCAGUCUUCUUUUCUCAAGACUAAACAUGCCCCAUUUUUAUAACCCUUUCCUCAUAGGUCAUAUCUUCUGAACCUUUUGUAUCACUGAAAUUCUCCAGAGUCAAAUGAAAAUCAAGAUGUUGAAAAUAAAAGCAGCGAUAAACCACUUUAGAUACAGUCAUAAGUGCUCCAUUUGUCUGUUCAAACUGCAUGAUAAAAUUUGGAGAAUUAUGCUGAAAUUGACAGGAUUUAAAGAAUAUGACAAGAACCUAAGGAAACUGCCCUGAAAAGAAGAGUUUCAACUUGAUACAAUGUGUAAUGGCUGAAAUAUCAAACCUGAAAAAUUAGCUAUUGUAAUA
This is a long non-coding RNA of Chelonia mydas (Green sea turtle), 730 nucleotides long. RefSeq lists it as uncharacterized. The transcript is spliced from 3 exons. The record is from RefSeq and is a predicted model, not a curated record. Lineage: Eukaryota; Metazoa; Chordata; Testudines; Cheloniidae.